This 83-nucleotide transfer RNA is filed under the name Chlorogloea purpurea SAG 13.99. RNAcentral's name for it is "tRNA-OTHER". It matches the Rfam family "tRNA". Rfam says of the family: Transfer RNA (tRNA) molecules are approximately 80 nucleotides in length. Their secondary structure includes four short double-helical elements and three loops (D, anti-codon, and T loops). Further hydrogen bonds mediate the characteristic L-shaped molecular structure. tRNAs have two regions of fundamental functional importance: the anti-codon, which is responsible for specific mRNA codon recognition, and the 3' end, to which the tRNAs corresponding amino acid is attached (by aminoacyl-tRNA synthetases). tRNAs cope with the degeneracy of the genetic code in two manners: having more than one tRNA (with a specific anti-codon) for a particular amino acid; and 'wobble' base-pairing, i.e. permitting non-standard base-pairing at the 3rd anti-codon position. Lineage: Bacteria; Bacillati; Cyanobacteriota; Cyanophyceae; Chroococcales; Entophysalidaceae. The record is from RNAcentral.
GGAGGGCACCGCUGAACGGCCGGCAACUAGUCUUGAAAACUAGGGUAGCUUUCGGGCUAGGGGUUCGAUUCCUCUGCUCUCCG